Symphalangus syndactylus (siamang) is the source of this 2072-nucleotide long non-coding RNA. RefSeq lists it as uncharacterized. Lineage: Eukaryota; Metazoa; Chordata; Mammalia; Primates; Hylobatidae. The record is from RefSeq and is a predicted model, not a curated record.
AAUCAGAGGGAGCGUUUGGCGGCCCCAGGGAUGGGUUUCUACGUGGGCUUCCGCUUUACCCUGAGAACUCUUGGGGGCAUGGCUGCCCUAGGACAGGAAACCGACGCACAGAGGCAGGGUCAGCUAUGUCAUCUGCAGGACCCAUAGAAGAUGAAAACGUGCCGGCACGUGGUGGAGCAUCUGUCAUCCCAGCACCUCGGAAGGCCGAGGCGGGAGGAUCACGAGGACUUCUCCCAGGACUGGCGAUCUGUGAAAUGCAUGUUGGGAAGGAGAGUUGCAGCCUCGGCCCCGAUGCGGCUGAGGGGCUAAGCACCAUGGUGUCCUGACUGAGCAGCUGGGCAGGCCCUCCGGACACCGGUGCAAAGCAGCAGCACCCACCCCGUCCUCUCAGAGUGUUCCAGUCAGCCCACAUUCAGCGUGGGGGUGGUCCCUCCUGGUCCCUCUGAUCCUGGCUGGAAGGGCUGUGAGCCGUGUCCCUCCUGGCCCCCCGACCCUGGCUGGACGGGCCGUGAGCUGCCUCCAGACAGGCCAGGGCUUCCCCGUCAGCUGGAAGCUCCUCCGGAAUUGCCUCUCCAGGCCUGCCUUUCAGGGAGCCCCUCGCACCUGGCUUCUGCCUCUGCAGGCAACUGUGGAUUGCUGUCCCUGCCCACCUAAGCCCCUGUGUCGUUUUCUUUCGAGGUGCUUGUCACUCAGGGAACCGAGAGAGCUACCAGCCGUCUUUUCAUCAUGUGAGGACAUAGUGAGAAGGUGGCCAUCUGCAGCUUGGAAAGGGGCCCUCACCAGAACCUAACCAUGCCAGCACCUUGAUCUUGGACUCCAGCCUCCAGAACUGUGAGAUAGAGAGCACCGGAGUCCAGGUGUGCCCUCCUGGGGCACCCGCCCAGCUCAGAGGCACACCUACCCGGUCUCGGGGGCUGUGACUGAGGGGUGUGGCAGAGGCUUCGGGUGUCCACUGGGAGCUUCCGCAGGGGAACCGGCCUGGUAGGAACGUCUGCUCUUGGGAAGGCAGAACCAUCGGGAACCAGCCUCGGGGCGCAGGCUUCCAGGCCAGCGCUCGCUCUGGGCAGAGCCACCCCCACGUUGCUUACUCGUCCCCACAAAUGGGACAGGAGCCAGGUCGCCUGUGUCCUCCGGGAAAUGCUCCCGGAUGUUGUGUCAGCCGGGUGAGCACUGGGUCCGGCUGCUCUGCCCAGCUUCUCUUCUCCAGUCGGCCAAGCCAGCCUCCGCGAGAGGCAGAGGAAAGACAGACACGGCGUUGGCUGCACGGGGCCUGCGUCUCUCCCGACCUUCUCAUUUGAUCCUCCUGCCCUAUGCGGUUGGUGCCAACAUUCAUCCCAUUUUACAGAUGAGUAAACUCAGCUUCAGUGAGGCCAGAGGCCUUCCUGGAGAUCACAGAGCAAGUGAGCCCAAGCCUCAACACCCAUCUCCCCUCUGCACCUCUGCCGCCCCCUCCCAUUCCUUUCCUGACUCUGGACCCCACGGGUGUCCUGGGCUCUGCUGCACUGUUCCUGGCUCUGCUCCCUUUCUACCUCCUGGGCCGGCAGGGGAAGAGCUCCCAGCUGGGGUCCCCACACCCUGACCUGCCCAUUCCACUUUCCUCAGCUGUAAAGCAGGGAAGUCAGGGCCCCCGUUUAUGGGCUCGUGGCGUUGAAGGGGUUCAUGUUGUGUAAAUCCCUAAGCCCAGUGUUGUCUUGGAAAAGACCUCAGUUUCGGGUUUAUUGUUCUCUCUCUCACUCACGCACCAUCAGUCUCAACUGUUGCUGGCCCGAGCUGUCUCUAUGUGCUUCUUCUCUCCUACUCUGCCGUCUACGAGGACGGGAGGUGCUGGGGGCUGGCUGGCUCCUCGGGGACAGUGGGGAGCCGUGUAGGAAGGGACACUGAGGCACUGAGGGCCCAGCAGGACCUGGGGAGGGGGUACAAGGAUGGCCUUGCUGCACGCAGACUGGCUGGCUCCACGCCCACUCUGGAAUGGCCCGGGCGAGACUGCCCAGCUGUCGUUUUGAUUGAAUCCAGAUGCCCCUCGUACUCGAGACAAAUGUGCUCUGGGGAGCGUUUAAAUAAAAACACAAGGA